RNAcentral lists this ribosomal RNA (400 nucleotides) under uncultured bacterium. RNAcentral's name for it is "bacterial SSU rRNA". It matches the Rfam family "Bacterial small subunit ribosomal RNA", at positions 355 to 768 of the family's 1533-position model. The record is from RNAcentral.
UCAAGAACCUUCCACAAUGGACGAAAGUCUGAUGGAGCGACGCCGCGUGAUUGAUGAAGUGCUUCGGCACGUAAAGAUCUUUUAUGAGGGAAGAAGUUUAUUGACGGUACCUCAUGAAUAAGGGGCUCCUAACUCUGUGCCAGCAGGAGCGGUAAUACAGAGGCCCCGAGCGUUAUCCGGAAUUAUUGGGCGUAAAGGGUGUGUAGGUGGCGUCAUUAGUCGUUUUUGAAAGUCCGGGGCUCAACCUCGGGAACGGGAACGAAACGGUGAUGCUUGAGUGUGUGAGAGGUAAGCGGAACUCUCUGUGUAGGGGUGAAAUCCGUUGAUAUAGAGGGGAACACCAAAAGCGAAGGCAGCUUACUGGCACAUUACUGACACUGAAACACGAAAGCGUGGGUAG